This 149-nucleotide ribosomal RNA is filed under the name uncultured bacterium. Its description in RNAcentral is "partial 16S ribosomal RNA". It matches the Rfam family "Bacterial small subunit ribosomal RNA", at positions 383 to 523 of the family's 1533-position model. The record is from RNAcentral.
CUGAUCCAGCCAUGCCGCGUGUGUGAAGAAGGCCUUUUGGUUGUAAAGCACUUUAAGCGGGGAGGAGGCUCUCUUGGUUAAUACCUGAGAAAAGUGGACGUUACCCACAAAAUAAGCACCGGCAAACUCUGUGCCAGCAGCCGCGGUAA